AGUGAACGCUGGCGGUAGGCCUAACACAUGCAAGUCGAACGGCAGCACAGGAGAGCUUGCUCUCUGGGUGGCGAGUGGCGGACGGGUGAGGAAUACAUCGGACUCUACUCUGUCGUGGGGGAUAACGUAGGGAAACUUACGCUAAUACCGCAUACGACCUACGGGUGAAAGCAGGGGAUCUUCGGACCUUGCGCGAAUGACUGAGCCGAUGUCGGAUUAGCUAGUUGGCGGGGUAAAGGCCCACCAAGGCGACGAUCCGUAGCUGGUGUGAGAGGAUGAUCAGCCACACUGGAACUGAGACACGGUCCAGACUCCUACGGGAGGCAGCAGUGGGGAAUAUUGGACAAUGGGCGCAAGCCUGAUCCAGCCAUACCGCGUGGGUGAAGAAGGCCUUCGGGUUGUAAAGCCCUUUUGUUGGGAAAGAAAUCCAGCUGGCUAAUACCCGGUUGGGACGACGGUACCCAAAGAAUAAGCACCGGCUAACUUCGUGCCAGCCGCCGCAGUAA
This 506-nucleotide ribosomal RNA is filed under the name uncultured bacterium. RNAcentral describes it as "partial 16S ribosomal RNA". It matches the Rfam family "Bacterial small subunit ribosomal RNA", at positions 29 to 523 of the family's 1533-position model. The record is from RNAcentral.